This is a long non-coding RNA of Portunus trituberculatus (swimming crab), 1477 nucleotides long. RefSeq lists it as uncharacterized. The record is from RefSeq and is a predicted model, not a curated record. NCBI's taxonomy places the organism in Eukaryota, Metazoa, Arthropoda, Malacostraca, Decapoda, Portunidae. The transcript is spliced from 2 exons.
AUGAUGAUCUAAUAAUUCUAGUCACUUGGCAGGGUAAAAAAUUGAAGAAAAGAGUGAAUAAAACCAUAGAGAUAGAUUGUGCUGUAUAUAUAAUUCCUUCUACACCAACUAUACAGAUGCCUGGCUAGCUGACCCGGCCUGGUGCACGGGAGGUCACCAGGCCACGUAUGGGACAAGUAUACAUACACACAGGUCAUAAAUAUACAGAAAGGUCAGGUCAGUUGGGCACUAGCAUACCUUACAAGGAGAAGGUUGGAGCUACUGCGAGAAAUGAUAACACACAAAUUAAUGUUAAGUUCUCACUAGACAUCUUUCUCAGUAUGUAUAUUCAAAGUAUUCACAUUUCCAUGGUUUUUCUUUUGGUGAUGAAUAAAAUCUUGUAUGGUUUAAACUUUUGGUGCUUGAGUCUUAAAUAUAUAAAAAGAUUCUCCUAAAGACAGAAAAAACUGAGUAUAAAAAGAUGAGGUGUUAAUAAGUGUACAUUCCCACCUCUAUUUCAAACCUGAAAAUUUUGAUUAAGAAAAUAGAUAGUUUGAUACACAACACAAUAAAAAAUAUAUCAAUAAAGGCAAAAAACUGUGUUAGAUAAAAGUAUCAAAUAUAGUAUAAACUAAAUAAAAUAAUGAUGAAAAAUGAACUUAAUAGAAAAAAAUAAAUAAGUAUAUGUAUGUACAAAUGAAUAAACUCAUACAUACAGAAAAAGCUGUCAAUUAGAAACAAAAGAAAUACACCUUCAUCACCCACUAAAUUCAAAUAUCAGUAAAAAAAUAUAAAAUCAAUGCAAGUGUUAAAAUCAAUAACAAAAACAACAAUAAUAAUAAUAACAACAAUAAUGAAAAAGCACACUUGCAUGCAUCAACCACUUCCCAUGAAAAGAAGGGGAAAAAAAGCACCAAUGAAAAUAUGAACAUUAGAAAAACCCGAGAAAAGAUGCUGAACAAGAACCAACCAACAAGUGACGCCUGAAUAAAUUACACUCUAUAAGGCUACAUUGGCAACCUAUAGACACGGGCACUAUCUCUUUAGUAUAUAAUAUUAUGUAUAAUAUAUAUAUAAUUUGUAUUUUUUUAUUUAUAGGUGUGUAUAGUAUCACUUACAUACGUACAUCUAUAUAUAUAAAACUCCAGCACAGUUUGACGGCACUCCAUUAUGGCAGUUGUAUACAUAAAUAAUUAAGGGAAUGCAUGUUUAUAGAGGUCUUUUAAUUAUCCUUCUUUUUAAUCAAGGGAGAGAGUGAUAGAGAUGUGUCACCAAUUUACUGCUGUUAUUCUUAUUGUUACCAUUAUUACUUAAGUAGAGCACUGAGGUUUUGCAGUAUGGCAAUGAGAGAGAGAGAGAGAGAGAGAGAGAGAGAGAGAGAGAGAGAGAGAGAGAGAGAGAGAGAGAGAGAGAGAGAGAGAGAGAGAGAGAGAGAGAGAGAGAGAGAGAGAGAGAGAGAGAGAGAGAGAGAGAGAGAGAGAGAGAGAGAGAGAGAGAG